This 1347-nucleotide ribosomal RNA is filed under the name uncultured bacterium. RNAcentral's name for it is "bacterial SSU rRNA". It matches the Rfam family "Bacterial small subunit ribosomal RNA", at positions 28 to 1393 of the family's 1533-position model. The record is from RNAcentral.
GAUGAACGCUAGCGGCAGGCCUAACACAUGCAAGUCGAACGGGAUCCUAGCUUCGGUUAGGUGAGAGUGGCGGACGGGUGAGUAACACGUGGGAAUCUGCCUUUUGGUUCGGGAUAACCGCGGGAAACUGCGGCUAAUACCGGAUGCACCCGAGAGGGGAAAGAUUUAUCGCCAGAAGAGGAGCCCGCGUCCGAUUAGGUAGUUGGUGGGGUAAUGGCCUACCAAGCCAACGAUCGGUAGCUGGUCUGAGAGGGAGAUCCCCCACACUGGUACUGAGACACGGACCAGACUCCUACGGGAGGCAGCAGUGAGGAAUAUUGGUCAAUGGACGGAAGUCUGAACCAGCCAUGCCGCGUGCAGGAAGACGCAUCUAUGGUGUGUAAACUGCUUUUAUACGGGAAGAAACCUAUCCACGCGUGGAUAGCUGACGGUACCGUAAGAAUAAGGAUCGGCUAACUCCGUGCCAGCAGCCGCGGUAAUACGGAGGAUUCGAGCGUUAUCCGGAAUCAUUGGGUUUAAAGGGUCCGUAGGCGGAUUUGUAAGUCAGGGGUGAAAGUUUACGGCUCAACCGUGAAAUUGCCUUUGAUACUGCAGAUCUUGAAUAUUUGUGAAGUAAUUAGAAUAUGUGGUGUAGCGGUGAAAUGCAUAGAUAUCACAUGGAAUACCGAUUGCGAAGGCAGGUUACUAACAAAUGAUUGACGCUGAUGGACGAAAGCGUGGGUAGCGAACAGGAUUAGAUACCCUGGUAGUCCACGCCGUAAACGAUGGAUACUAGCUGCUAGGACAGAUUAAUGAUUUAGUGGCUAAGCGAAAGUGAUAAGUAUCCCACCUGGGGAGUACGUUCGCAAGAAUGAAACUCAAAGGAAUUGACGGGGGCCCGCACAAGCGGUGGAGCAUGUGGUUUAAUUCGAUGAUACGCGAGGAACCUUACCAGGGCUUAAAUGUAGUUUGACAGGACUAGAAAUAGUUUUUUCUUCGGACAAAUUACAAGGUGCUGCAUGGUUGUCGUCAGCUCGUGCCGUGAGGUGUCAGGUUAAGUCCUAUAACGAGCGCAACCCCUUUGGUUAGUUGCCAGCACAUAAAGGUGGGAACUCUAGCCAUACUGCCGGUGUAAACCGCGAGGAAGGUGGGGAUGACGUCAAAUCAUCACGGCCCUUACGUCCUGGGCCACACACGUGCUACAAUGGGCGGUACAAAGGGCAGCCAACCCGCGAGGGGGAGCUAAUCCCAUAAAGCCGGUCGUAGUCCGGAUCGCAGUCUGCAACUCGACUGCGUGAAGUCGGAAUCGCUAGUAAUCGUGGAUCAGCAUGUCACGGUGAAUACGUUCCCGGGCCUUGUACUCACCGC